AUACCUGCAGCUCGAGUGGUGAUCGCUAUUAUUGGGCCUAAAACGUCCGUAGCCGGUUUGAUAAAUGCCUGGGUAAAUCGUGUAGCUUAACUAUACGAAUACCGGGUAGACUGUCAAACUUGAGACCGGGAGAGGUUGGAGGUACUCCUGGGGUAGAGGUGAAAUUCUGUAAUCCUGGGGGGACCACCAGUGGCGAAGGCGUCCAACCAGAACGGGUCUGACGGUGAGGGACGAAGCCCUGGGGCGCAAACCGGAUUAGAUACCCGGGUAGUCCAGGGUGUAAACGCUGCUUGCUUGAUGUUAGGUAGGCUCCGAGUCUGCCUAGUGUCGGAGAGAAGUUGUUAAGCAAGCUGCCUGGGAAGUACGGUCGCAAGACUGAA
RNAcentral lists this ribosomal RNA (380 nucleotides) under uncultured bacterium. RNAcentral's name for it is "bacterial SSU rRNA". It matches the Rfam family "Archaeal small subunit ribosomal RNA", at positions 473 to 853 of the family's 1478-position model. The record is from RNAcentral. RNAcentral also lists the same sequence under 1 other name.